CUCUGUGACUCCUACGGGAGGCAGCAGUGGGGAAUAUUGCACAAUGGGCGCAAGCCUGAUGCAGCAACGCCGUGUGAGUGAAGAAGGUUUUCGGAUCGUAAAACUCUGUCCUAAGGGAAGAAACAAAUGACGGUACCUUAGGAGGAAGCCCCGGCUAACUACGUGCCAGCAGCCGCGGUAAUACGUAGGGGGCAAGCGUUAUCCGGAAUCACUGGGCGUAAAGGGGUGCGUAGGCGGCUUAGCAAGCCAGGGGUGAAAGGCAUUGGCUCAACCAAUGUAAGCCUUUGGAACUGUUAAGCUUGAGUGCAGGAGAGGUAAGUGGAAUUCCUAGUGUAGAGGUGAAAUUCGUAGAUAUUAGGAGGAACACCAGUGGCGAAGGCGACUUACUGGACUGUAACUGACGCUGAUGCACGAAAGCGUGGGUAGCGAACAGGAUUAGAUACCCUGGUAG
This 451-nucleotide ribosomal RNA is filed under the name uncultured bacterium. RNAcentral's name for it is "bacterial SSU rRNA". It matches the Rfam family "Bacterial small subunit ribosomal RNA", at positions 328 to 793 of the family's 1533-position model. The record is from RNAcentral.